UGAGGAAUAUUGGUCAAUGGGCGCAAGCCUGAACCAGCCAUGCCGCGUGCAGGAUGACAGCCCUACGGGUUGUAAACUGCUUUUAUACGGGAGCAAACCCUUCCCUGCGGGGAAGGUUGAGAGUACCGUAGGAAUAAGGAUCGGCUAACUCCGUGCCAGCAGCCGCGGUAAUACGGAGGAUCCGAGCGUUAUCCGGAUUUAUUGGGUUUAAAGGGUGCGCAGGCGGCCCGGUAAGUCAGCGGUGAAAAGGUGCAGCUCAACUGUACCCGUGCCGUUGAUACUGUCGGGCUUGAAUGUGGGUGAAGCUGGCGGAAUGUGCAGUGUAGCGGUGAAAUGCAUAGAUAUUGCACAGAAGGCCGAUUGCGAAGGCAGCUGGCUAACCCAUAAUUGACGCUCAUGC
RNAcentral lists this ribosomal RNA (400 nucleotides) under uncultured bacterium. Its description in RNAcentral is "bacterial SSU rRNA". It matches the Rfam family "Bacterial small subunit ribosomal RNA", at positions 355 to 752 of the family's 1533-position model. The record is from RNAcentral.